AUCAGUUUAAUAUCUGAUACGUCCCCCAUCGGGGGACUACAUAUUAAAUGGAUUUUUCGAACAGGGAGUCGGAAAUGGGGCUUGCUCCGUCCGCUCCACGCAUCGACCAGGUAUUGCAGUACCUCCGGGAACGGUGCAACACUU
This 144-nucleotide small nuclear RNA is filed under the name Salmo salar (Atlantic salmon). Its description in RNAcentral is "U2 spliceosomal RNA". It matches the Rfam family "U2 spliceosomal RNA", at positions 48 to 192 of the family's 192-position model. From Rfam's summary of the family: U2 is a small nuclear RNA (snRNA) component of the spliceosome (involved in pre-mRNA splicing). Complementary binding between U2 snRNA (in an area lying towards the 5' end but 3' to hairpin I) and the branchpoint sequence (BPS) of the intron results the bulging out of an unpaired adenosine, on the BPS, which initiates a nucleophilic attack at the intronic 5' splice site, thus starting the first of two transesterification reactions that mediate splicing. Lineage: Eukaryota; Metazoa; Chordata; Actinopteri; Salmoniformes; Salmonidae. The record is from Rfam by way of RNAcentral.